Lineus longissimus is the source of this 842-nucleotide long non-coding RNA. RefSeq lists it as uncharacterized. Lineage: Eukaryota; Metazoa; Nemertea; Pilidiophora; Heteronemertea; Lineidae. The record is from RefSeq and is a predicted model, not a curated record. The transcript has 2 exons.
UGUGGCACCAGAGGAUAUCGUCUGUCACAUUGCAAAUAUAGUGAUUAGCUCUGUUCCUCUUAAUUAGGCAGUGGCCAUUCGCGAUUUUGUUGGUCCAAAAGGGAUUCAAUGGAAAACAUUUGGGAUGUACCGAGGUUAACCAUGACGUAUUGUGUACCCUUGCGUCCGCGUCAUAAACUAGAUCGGACUACGUUGAUUGCUGUUGAACGCUAAGAAGAAAAAGAACAAGAAACUUCAGAGUCGAGAGUCAGUGUAUGUCUGUUAAAGUUUGUCAAGCGAAGAUACCUAAGAUGCAGUAGUUACUGUGCUGGUUGUCACUGUGAAUGUGUUGCUGUAUAUCUCGAUAUCGCAGCCCUCCUUUGAGAAGGACGACAUGAGAAGCCUUGGCGAACUCUGAACUCGCUCCAUCGCCUUGAAGAAGAUUACUUCGCUACAUGAGCUAUUAUAUUUUUGGCGAAAGACGAAUGUAAGAGACUUAUAUUUAUCCUGGGAGACAGACAAAUCUCCUUUGGUCUCUUUCAAUUUAGAUAGGCACUUCAGACACGGAAAUAAAAGUGAAAUCAGGCGAUUCUCGUGACAAGCCAGUCGGCGAAUGCUCCUCAUUGUGGAUAAGGCAGUGAAUCAAAGUGAUGACAACGGGCUUCCUGUGCUUGCUAUACGCACAUGAAGUACAACGGAAACUUUCCUUGCAAUGAUUUAUUUGGCGGUUAACUUUAUAAUCAAAGCUUAUGUAACUGUGCAUAAUACCGUAUACCGUAUUGUUAAAUAUUGAUUUUGUAAAUACUUGUUGCAAUUAAAUCUCAUUUUGUUAUGACCGAAUAAAAUUACUAUAGUUGGUUAUA